RNAcentral lists this unclassified non-coding RNA (323 nucleotides) under soil metagenome. RNAcentral's name for it is "partial contains 5.8S ribosomal RNA, internal transcribed spacer 2, and large subunit ribosomal RNA". The stretch from base 1 to 120 matches the Rfam family "5.8S ribosomal RNA", at positions 35 to 154 of the family's 154-position model. The record is from RNAcentral.
GAUGAAGAACGUAGCGAAAUGCGAUAAGUAGUGUGAAUUGCAGAAUUCAGCGAAUCAUCGAAUCUUUGAACGCACAUUGCGCCCCUUGGUAUUCCAUGGGGCAUGCCUGUUCGAGCGUCAUUUGUACCUUCAAGCUUUGCUUGGUGUUGGGUGUUUGUCCUGAGGGACUCGCCUUAAAGUAAUUGGCAGCCAGUGUUUGGUUUUGAAGCGCAGCACAAGUCGCGAUUCAAGGCUAUACACCAGCUUCCACAAGCCUUUUUCACUUUUGACCUCGGAUCAGGUAGGGAUACCCGCUGAACUUAAGCAUAUCAAUAAGCGGAGGA